RNAcentral lists this ribosomal RNA (254 nucleotides) under uncultured bacterium. RNAcentral's name for it is "partial 16S ribosomal RNA". It matches the Rfam family "Bacterial small subunit ribosomal RNA", at positions 524 to 776 of the family's 1533-position model. The record is from RNAcentral.
GACGUAGGGGGCAAGCGUUGUCCGGAUUUAUUGGGCGUAAAGAGCUCGUAGGCGGUUGGGCAAGUCACGUGUGAAAUCUCCACGCUCAACGUGGAGGCGCCACGUGAGACUGCCCUGACUCGAGUCCGGUAGGGGAGCGUGGAAUUCCCGGUGUAGCGGUGAAAUGCGCAGAGAUCGGGAGGAACACCCGUAGCGAAGGCGGCGCUCUGGGCCGGUACUGACGCUGAGGAGCGAAAGCGUGGGGAGCGAACAGG